Molecule: ribosomal RNA, 452 nt
Filed under: uncultured bacterium
Lineage: Bacteria
Description: bacterial SSU rRNA
Rfam family: Bacterial small subunit ribosomal RNA
Source: RNAcentral
AUGAACGCUGGCGGCGUGCCUAACACAUGCAAGUCGCACGGGGGGAGCAAUCCUUCAGUGGCGCACGGGUGAGGAACACGUAGCUGACCUGCCCCGAAGAGCGGGAUAACGGUUCGAAAGGACUGCUAAUACCGCAUAAGCUCACAUUGACUAAAUAGGUGUGAGAAAAGGCGCAAGCCGUUUCGGGAGGGGGCUGCGACCCAUCAGGUAGUUGGUAAGGUAACGGCUUACCAAGCCGACGACGGGUAACGGGUUUGAGAGGAUGAUCCGUCACACUGGGACUGAGACACGGCCCAGACUCCUACGGGAGGCAGCAGUGAGGAAUAUUGCACAAUGGGCGCAAGCCUGAUGCAGCGACGCCGCGUGGGUGAUGAAGGCUUUCGGGUCGUAAAACCCUUUUCUGUUUGACGAGCAAGGACGGUAGCACAGGAAUAAGCCUCGGCUAACUACGU